RNAcentral lists this transfer RNA (75 nucleotides) under Caudoviricetes sp. Its description in RNAcentral is "tRNA-Met". It matches the Rfam family "tRNA". Rfam says of the family: Transfer RNA (tRNA) molecules are approximately 80 nucleotides in length. Their secondary structure includes four short double-helical elements and three loops (D, anti-codon, and T loops). The record is from RNAcentral. Lineage: Duplodnaviria; Heunggongvirae; Uroviricota; Caudoviricetes.
CCCCCGGUACCUCAGUUGGUUAGCAGGGAGCGGCUCAUAACCGUUUUGUCACAGGUUCAAGUCCUGUUCGGGGGA